RNAcentral lists this ribosomal RNA (442 nucleotides) under uncultured bacterium. Its description in RNAcentral is "partial 16S ribosomal RNA". It matches the Rfam family "Bacterial small subunit ribosomal RNA", at positions 338 to 795 of the family's 1533-position model. The record is from RNAcentral.
CCUACGGGUGGCAGCAGGGGGGAAUAGUGGGCAAUGGGCGCAAGCCUGACCCAGCAACGCCGCGGGAAGGAAGAAGGCUUUCGGGGUGUAAACUUCUUUUGACAGGGAAGAGCAGAAGACGGUACCUGUCGAAUAAGCCACGGCUAACUACGGGCCAGCAGCCGCGGUAAUACGGAGGUGGCAAGCGUUGUCCGGAUUUACUGGGUGGAAAGGGCGUGUAGUCGGGCUGACAAGUCAGAUGUGAAAUCCGGGGGCCCAACCCCCGAACUGCAUUUGAAACUGUUGGUCUUGAGUAUCGGAGAGGCAGGCGGAAUUCCUGGUGUAGCGGUGAAAUGCGUAGAUAUUAGGAGGAACACCAGUGGCGAAGGCGGCCUGCUGGACGACAACUGACGGUGAGGCGCGAAAGCGUGGGGAGCAAACAGGAUUAGAUACCCUAGUAGUC